RNAcentral lists this ribosomal RNA (492 nucleotides) under uncultured bacterium. Its description in RNAcentral is "partial 16S ribosomal RNA". It matches the Rfam family "Bacterial small subunit ribosomal RNA", at positions 29 to 507 of the family's 1533-position model. The record is from RNAcentral.
AGUGAACGCUGGCGGUAGGCCUAACACGUGCAAGUCGAACGGCAGCACAGUAAGAGCUUGCUCUUACGGGUGGCGAGUGGCGGACGGGUGAGGAAUACAUCGGAAUCUACUUUUUCGUGGGGGAUAACGUAGGGAAACUUACGCUAAUACCGCAUACGACCUACGGGUGAAAGCAGGGGAUCUUCGGACCUUGCGCGAUUGAAUGAGCUGAUGUCGGAUUAGCUAGUUGGCGGGGUAAAGGCCCACCAAGGCGACGAUCCGUAGCUGGUCUGAGAGGAUGAUCAGCCACACUGGAACUGAGACACGGUCCAGACUCCUACGGGAGGCAGCAGUGGGGAAUAUUGGACAAUGGGCGCAAGCCUGAUCCAGCCAUACCGCGUGGGUGAAGAAGGCCUUCGGGUUGUAAAGCCCUUUUGUUGGGAAAGAAAAGCAGCAGGUUAAUACCCCGCUGUUCUGACGGUACCCAAAGAAUAAGCACCGGCUAACUUCGUG